This 492-nucleotide ribosomal RNA is filed under the name uncultured bacterium. Its description in RNAcentral is "partial 16S ribosomal RNA". It matches the Rfam family "Bacterial small subunit ribosomal RNA", at positions 29 to 507 of the family's 1533-position model. The record is from RNAcentral.
AGUGAACGCUGGCGGUAGGCCUAACACAUGCAAGUCGAACAGCAGCACAGUAAGAGCUUGCUCUUACGGGUGGCGAGUGGCGGACGGGUGAGGAAUACAUCGGAAUCUACUUUUUCGUGGGGGAUAACGUAGGGAAACUUACGCUAAUACCGCAUACGACCUACGGGUGAAAGCAGGGGUUCUUCGGACCUUGCGCGAUUGAAUGAGCCGAUUUCGGAUUAGCUAGUUGGCGGGGUAAAGGCCCACCAAGGCGACGAUCCGUAGCUGGUCUGAGAGGAUGAUCAGCCACACUGGAACUGAGACACGGUCCAGACUCCUACGGGAGGCAGCAGUGGGGAAUAUUGGACAAUGGGCGCAAGCAUGAUCCAGCCAUACCGCGUGGGUGAAGAAGGCCUUCGGGUUGUAAAGACCUUUUGUUGGGAAAGAAAAGCAGCAGGUUAAUACCCCGCUGUUCUGACGGUACCCAAAGAAUAAGCACCGGCUAACUUCGUG